AGAGUUUGAUCCUGGCUCAGAACGAACGCUGGCGGCGUGGAUUAGGCAUGCAAGUCGAACGGGAUCCUUGAGAUUCAAGUUUUCGGACGAGAAUCUCUUGGUGAGAGUGGCGAACGGGUGAGUAACGCGUGGGCAAUCUGCCCUCAAGUUCGGGAUAGCCCUUCGAAAGGAGGGGUAAUACCGAAUGUGGUCGUGCCGCGCAUGCGGCAUUAUCUGAAGAUGGGGAUCCUUCGGGACCUGUCGCUUGAGGAUGAGCCCGCGUCCCAUCAGCUAGUUGGUGAGGUAACGGCCCACCAAGGCUUACGGGUAGCUGGUCUGAGAGGAUGGUCAGCCACACUGGGACUGAGACACUGCCCAGACUCCUACGGGAGGCUGCAGUCGAGGAUCAUUCGCAAUGCACGAAAGUGCGACGAUGCGACGCCGCGUGCAGGAUGAAGGCCUUCGGGUUGUAAACUGCUGUCAUGAGGGAACAAUGACUUCGGGGUUAAUACCCUCGAGGAGUGAUGGUACCUCAAGAGGAAGCCACGGCUAACUCUGUGCCAGCAGCCGCGGUAAUACAGAGGUGGCGAGCGUUGUUCGGAUUUACUGGGCGUAAAGGGUGCGUAGGCGGCGUCGUAUGUCGGAUGUGAAAGGCCACGUUUCAUGCGUGGAACGCCAUUCGAAACUGCGGUGCUAGAGUACAGGAGAGGAGAGCGGAAUUCUCGGUGUAGCGGUGAAAUGCGUAGAUAUCGAGAGGAACACCGGCGGCGAAGGCGGCUCUCUGGACUGAUACUGACGCUGAGGCACGAAAGCCGGGGGAGCAAACAGGAUUAGAUACCCUGGUAGUCCCGGCCCUAAACGUUGUGCACUUGGUGUAGGUGGAAUUAUCCCCAUCUGUGCCGGAGUUAACGCGUUAAGUGCACCGCCUGGGGAGUACGGCCGCAAGGCUAAAACUCAAAGGAAUUGACGGGGGCCCGCACAAGCGGUGGAGCAUGU
RNAcentral lists this ribosomal RNA (975 nucleotides) under PVC group bacterium. Its description in RNAcentral is "bacterial SSU rRNA". It matches the Rfam family "Bacterial small subunit ribosomal RNA", at positions 8 to 942 of the family's 1533-position model. The record is from RNAcentral. Lineage: Bacteria; Pseudomonadati.